RNAcentral lists this ribosomal RNA (1347 nucleotides) under uncultured bacterium. RNAcentral's name for it is "bacterial SSU rRNA". It matches the Rfam family "Bacterial small subunit ribosomal RNA". The record is from RNAcentral.
AGAGUUUGAUCCUGGCUCAGGAUGAACGCUGGCGGUAUGCUUAACACAUGCAAGUCGAACGAAACCUUUCGGGGUUUAGUGGCGGACGGGUGAGUAACGCGUGAGAAUCUGGCUUCAGGUCUGGGACAACCACUGGAAACGGUGGCUAAUACCGGAUGUGCCGAGAGGUGAAAGGUUAACUGCCUGAAGAUGAGCUCGCGUCUGAUUAGCUAGUUGGUAGUGUAAUGGACAACCAAGGCGACGAUCAGUAGCUGGUCUGAGAGGACGAUCAGCCACACUGGGACUGAGACACGGCCCAGACUCCUACGGGAGGCAGCAGUGGGGAAUUUUCCGCAAUGGGCGAAAGCCUGAUGGAGCAAUACCGCGUGAGGGAGGAAGGCUCUUGGGUCGUAAACCUCUUUUCUCAGGGAAGAACACAAUGACGGUACCUGAGGAAUAAGCAUCGGCUAACUCCGUGCCAGCAGCCGCGGUAAUACGGAGGAUGCAAGCGUUAUCCGGAAUAAUUGGGCGUAAAGCGUCCGCAGGUGGCGAUGUAAGUCUGCUGUUAAAGCGUCUAGCUCAACUAGAUAAGAGCAGUGGAAACUACUUCGCUAGAGUGCGUUCGGGGCAGAGGGAAUUCCUGGUGUAGCGGUGAAAUGCGUAGAGAUCAGGAAGAACACCAGUGGCGAAGGCGCUCUGCUAGGCCGCAACUGACACUGAGGGACGAAAGCUAGGGGAGCGAAUGGGAUUAGAUACCCCAGUAGUCCUAGCCGUAAACGAUGGAUACUAGGCGUGGCUUGUAUCGACCCGAGCCGUGCCGUAGCUAACGCGUUAAGUAUCCCGCCUGGGGAGUACGCCGGCAACGGUGAAACUCAAAGGAAUUGACGGGGGCCCGCACAAGCGGUGGAGUAUGUGGUUUAAUUCGAUGCAACGCGAAGAACCUUACCAAGGCUUGACAUGUCGCGAAUCUUCUUGAAAGGGGAGAGUGCCUUCGGGAGCGCGAACACAGGUGGUGCAUGGCUGUCGUCAGCUCGUGUCGUGAGAUGUUGGGUUAAGUCCCGCAACGAGCGCAACCCUCGUUUUUAGCUGCCAGCAUUAAGUUGGGCACUCUAGAGAGACUGCCGGUGACAAACCGGAGGAAGGUGGGGAUGACGUCAAGUCAGCAUGCCCCUUACGCCUUGGGCUACACACGUACUACAAUGCUCCGGACAGAGGGCAGCAAGCCAGCGAUGGCAAGCUAAUCCCGGAAACCGAGGCUCAGUUCAGAUCGCAGGCUGCAACUCGCCUGCGUGAAGUCGGAAUCGCUAGUAAUUGCAGGUCAGCAUACUGCAGUGAAUUCGUUCCCGGGCCUUGCACACACCGCCCGUC